GGGCAAAGAGCAUCUGUUCCCUCCAUUCUCCUAGCUCCAUCGGCUGCCAACCUAAGGCCAUCGCCUGCCUCCAUCACCCCUUCGCCUGCCUGCCUACCACCCAGUCCCAAAUGGGUGCUGGAUCAGGUCCUCCUUCCCAUCCCCUCUUAGGCAUGGAGAGAUGAAGGACAGAUGGAGUACCGCAUAAGGACACAAUGGAGGGAGCAGGCCAUGACUAAGACCCCAAGGAUGAAGAAUGGAGAGCCCUGACCGUCCUCCAGGCCCCCAGUCAAGUCCCUGCUGAAGAUGGCUAUACCCUCUAGCCUGGGAGGACCAUGACCCAACAAUGGCGGUGGGAGAGAAGAUGACUUUGUGAAGGACACUCUCCGUUAUCUGUGAUGACAUACACCAGCCCCUGAACAAUUUAACCUUAAGCUGCCCUCGGCAAGACUUCGGUAGCACUGGAUUUCUCUCAUUCCCGGGAGGCAGAGUUGUUAGCCAUCAAUCUGGAAGAUCUGAAGGAAAAUUUGGCUUUGGGUAAAGUCAAAGGGGAUGGCUCUCAGAGAUGAGGCCUGUUCAUGAGGAGUAAGCAGGGCUUUGCUGCCUGCGCCAGGCAGAGCUGCCCUGGGCUGGGGGGAGUUUUGACGUCAACAUCUCUGGAAGCAGAAAGCAGCUUCAGAAGAAGCAAGGUUUUGCCAGGAAAAAAGAAAACAGGAGGUCUUCAGUCAACAUGGAGUUUGAAGCCGCCCAUGGCUGAAGCUCAGAAUACUCUGGAGAGCUGAGAGUCCUUCUUCAGCGGCCGGGCCGUUCUGCAGCAGCUGCAGCCGCCUCUGGGCCUGGGCAUCACGGUGGGCAGGCGUGCGUAGGUGUUGCAGCAAGGCUAGGCGGGAGGGUGUGUCCCAGGCACACAACAGGCAGUGGUAAAUCCCCGGCUCCGGCCCUGCCUCUGCUCCCUCCAUUUCCAGCAGAAACUAGAACCAUGGAAGAGGCCAGCUCAGAUGUAGAAGGCACACCUCCAGACCUCUGGGGACUGUCCCUCCUCACUUGGAUUCUUUCCUGCCUGGAUGGCCUCCCUCCACCCUGCUAUGGCUUCCCAUCUGCUUCUCCUCUCCGUUUCCUUCUUUCUCCCAUCAGUCCUGGGUCCCCCAGUGUGUGGCCGGGAGCUGCUUCUGUCCUGGAUACCAUGAUGGCUGGACUGAGAUGGACUCAUCCCUAUAGCAUGUGUGCCAGCACAGCUAAAUCAAGUCUGUUUCUCCUCCUCAGAGCCCACUGC
This 1252-nucleotide long non-coding RNA is filed under the name Mus pahari (shrew mouse). Its description in RNAcentral is "lncRNA (MGP_PahariEiJ_G0003910.1)". The record is from RNAcentral. Lineage: Eukaryota; Metazoa; Chordata; Mammalia; Rodentia; Muridae.